Transfer RNA from Ovis aries (sheep), 72 nucleotides. It matches the Rfam family "tRNA". Rfam says of the family: Transfer RNA (tRNA) molecules are approximately 80 nucleotides in length. Their secondary structure includes four short double-helical elements and three loops (D, anti-codon, and T loops). Further hydrogen bonds mediate the characteristic L-shaped molecular structure. tRNAs have two regions of fundamental functional importance: the anti-codon, which is responsible for specific mRNA codon recognition, and the 3' end, to which the tRNAs corresponding amino acid is attached (by aminoacyl-tRNA synthetases). tRNAs cope with the degeneracy of the genetic code in two manners: having more than one tRNA (with a specific anti-codon) for a particular amino acid; and 'wobble' base-pairing, i.e. permitting non-standard base-pairing at the 3rd anti-codon position. Lineage: Eukaryota; Metazoa; Chordata; Mammalia; Artiodactyla; Bovidae. The record is from Rfam.
UCCCUGGUGGCUCAGACGGUAAAGCGUCUGCCCGCGAUGCAGGAGACCCAGGUUCAAUCCCUGGGUUGGGAA